This is a long non-coding RNA of Coffea arabica (coffee), 499 nucleotides long. RefSeq lists it as uncharacterized. NCBI's taxonomy places the organism in Eukaryota, Viridiplantae, Streptophyta, Magnoliopsida, Gentianales, Rubiaceae. The record is from RefSeq and is a predicted model, not a curated record.
UCAUGGAAAUCCUGAUGGGGAAGACCAUCACCCUUGAGGUGGAGUCUUCUGACACCAUCGACAAUGUCAAGGCCAAAAUCCAGGACAAGGAGGGGCAUCCUCCCGAAACCAAUAGCGCCUCAUCUUCAUCGGCAAGCAGCUGGAGGACGGCCGUACCCUAGCCGACUACAACAGCCGAAAGGAGCCAGAAGGAGUCCACCAUCCACUUCUUUCUCCACCUCCGUGGUGACGCAACACCAAGCCCAAGAAAAAGAAGGCAAGUUUAUCAGAAGGCUGGCGGUGAUUGAGGGAACUCUGGACUAAUUGUGCAUUCAACGCUGAAGGGGAUCGAUGUGCUCUCCACCAACUCUCAGCAAUUGAAGUUGUUGACAUAGGCUUAGGGUCUUCCUCGGAUAUUCUCAUUGAGUUGCAUUUUUCACUUUGAGACUUGUAUUGCUUGUUCAAACUCUUUUGGCCUCUAAUCCACAGCUACUAAUUGAUUGAAGAACAAUGAAGACAA